Molecule: long non-coding RNA, 25483 nt
Filed under: Hordeum vulgare
Lineage: Eukaryota; Viridiplantae; Streptophyta; Magnoliopsida; Poales; Poaceae
Description: long non-coding RNA (HVUL_LNC019543)
Source: RNAcentral
CCGCCAAGCAGGUGCGGGGAGCCAGGCUCCGCGCGCAGGCGACGUACAAGGUGAAGCUGGUGACGCCCGAGGGCGAGGUGGAGCUGGAGGUCCCCGACGACGUCUACAUCCUGGACCAGGCCGAGGAGGAGGGCAUCGACCUGCCCUACUCCUGCCGCGCCGGCUCCUGCUCCUCCUGCGCCGGCAAGUUGGUGUCCGGCGAGAUCGACCAGUCCGACCAGAGCUUCCUCGACGACGACCAGAUGGAGGCAGGGUGGGUGCUCACCUGCCACGCCUACCCCAAGUCCGACAUCGUCAUCGAGACCCACAAGGAGGAGGAGCUCACCGCAUAAGCUGCUUACCCUGCCUCUCUUUGCAACAAGAUCGAGCUGAUAUCAUAUUAUCUCCCAUCAUGCAUGCAUGCAUGGAUAUCGCCAGAUACACCGAUUUGUUUGUGCUCGAAUGAAUUGCUCGAUGCAUGGUUUGCUCCAGUAAUAAUGUCUUCGAAUUACUACCUUUUUGUACCGUAAGAUAUACUACUGUCGUAAUACUAGCGUGUACUUAAUUCAACGUACUGAAAUGAAUCCUGAUGGCUGAGGUGUCUCUCUGAUUAAUAAUAUCUUCUUUUUUACUUAAGAUAAGAGACUGCUGAAUGUUGGUUGCUAACGGUGGUGGUUGAUGUUGAAGUUUUGUUGCUGCAAGUUGAUUGCUUCGCCGCGUUAUGCCUUGCCUUGUUUCUCAUUUAUGUAUUUUUGAUGAUGCAUCGUCGCACUAGGUAGCUCUUGAAUUGUGUUUGGGGGCACCUUGAAAUUAAUAAACAGUAAGGUAGGUCACAAUGUCUUCAACCCCCUUUCUAGAAACCACUCUAACAUCAAAUAGAAUAUUACUCUAUUGAUUAGUACAGAGAUGCUAUAUACACUUUGUCACAGUUUGUACAGAGAUUGUAGGUGAAUGCAAUUGAAUUAAACCAUAUGUGACAUGCACCGUGAAGUCGAAACCUUGCAACAUAGUGUCAGAAAUAACAAAUCGAUGUCUUACUUCAUUAGAUGUGGAACCAUCUACCCUCGUUGUUGAUCAUCAUAAUGGUUUUAUAAACCCCCAACAUGUUGUGUUUUAAAACGAUUGUACCAUGUUCUUGUUUCGACUGCCGGGGGGAGGGCUCGUGAUGACCUACUCUUUCUCAAGUUAUCAUGUUAGUCACUUGGAUGACUUAGGCCCUGUUUGGAACUAUAAUACUCCCUCCGUUCCAUAAUAUAAGUCUUUUUAAAGAUUCCACUAAAAAACUACAUACAGAUGUAUAUAAACAUACUUUAGAGUGUAGAUUCACACAUUUUGCUCCGUAUGUAGUCCACUAGUGAAAUCGCUUAAAAGACUUAUAUUUAGGAACGGAGGGAGUAGAUUAUAAUAAUCUAGAUUAUGAAGAUAGAUUAUAUAAUCUGGUUUAUAAAAAUAAUCUAGAUGGACAUGUUUGGAGGCCGGAUUAUAUAAACUGUAAUCCAGAUUUUACAUUGCAUAAUGACCUGUCUGCCCUCUGUUUAAAAAAAAAAAAGGGUGGCGGUGGUAGGAAUGUAAUUAUCUCCAACUUUACAAGGGUAAUAGAUCAUUAGCAAUCCAUAAUCUGAUUUUAGCUGGUAUAGACUAGAUUAUGAGUUUUUAAUAAUAUAUCCAUCUAGUUUUUAUAAUCUACACCAUAAGCUGUCCUGUUUGAAGACAAAAUAGAUUAUAGAAACUGGAUUAUAUAAUCUGGAUGGUUCCAAACAGGGCCUUAGAUGGAGAUAAUGCACACCAUUGAAAAAAUUAUACUUAUAGAUAGGGUCACUUUAGUGGCUGGAAUAGUCUCGGACCUGUCACUCGUACUUCGGUCCAACAACGUACAUGCCAUUGCAAUUUACUGAGCAGGGAUUGCCGCCCGCCACUGAUUUUCUAGUCCCACAUUGGCCAUGGGGAAACCUUUUCAGUGGCGGGCGGUCGGGUACAACCUACCACUGGCAGUGAAGUUGUCACUGGCAGGCACCGGUUUCCUCCAACCAUUAGUGCACCACAUAUGUAAUUUUCUAAUUUCCUGCAUUUGUUUUUACAUUUUAGUGUGGUAUUCUUUUGUGACUUUGUUACUGUAUGAGAAUUGUUUGACCUUUGUAGUAUCUUUAUUUGCUAUAUUUUAGACAUUUUAUUAAUAAAGUUGUAUUUAAUUGAAUAUAAUUAUAUUUUUUGAACUACAACUAUAUAUUUUAAAUUACUUUCAAAGGUUCGAAGACAAAUAUUUAUGUCUCGUGAAACAAUAGUAUUGUUUCACCAAUAUUUGAGCAGUUUUUCAGCAUAUGUAGUUCAUAUUUAAUUUAUGUCCAUUAGAUAAACUAAAAAUGCAUUUAAUGCCCCAAAUAUAUCAUAUAAACCUAGAAACGCAUUUAAUGCCCCAAAUAUAUCAUAGAAAACUAGAAUAGUCCUGAAUUUGACCAAGGAACUUGUAAUGGUGUAUACCAAAAAUAAAAAAAGUUUCUGUUAAAAAAUGAUGAAAAAAUUGUGUUCCCAUUCAAACCCAACAUUUUCCCUUAGAAACGUUGAUACUUCCGUGGAGACUGUUAUUUCUACGUGAAGUGCAUCGGAUUUUUUCUGUGAGUCUCUAAUUUUGUUACCACACCUUCGGUUUCAUAUCAUGACACCAUGCAAAGUUCCAUCAUUUUCAAACUGAAUUUACAUCUAUGUAUAAAAAAAAUCAAUACUCUUAAUAGCUAGAAAUUGAUCUGAUGCUUAAAAAUAGCAAAUCAACCCAAAAGGUGAUAAAGUCUAUCAUGAGUCUUUAUGAAGUAAAUUCAACCCCACAAAAGGUGGAAAUUAAAUUCUACCCCUAAAGCAGUAAAGCAAACAUAUUGCAAAAAAUGCAAAAAAGUAGCGUGCGACCAUAAACACCCUCCAUUGAUUGAUUUUGGUCACAUUCCCGCGAGUGAGUGGGACAUGCCCGCACCUUCAACCUGCAAAUGUGGUUGCCUUAUCCCCCAUUGUCGACCUCUCCCAUCCGACUCUACCCAAUCCCUAGCUUGCAAUCACCAUUGCUGCACCCGUCGUUGUCGCCGGCGAGGGAAUCAUCGUCUUUUUCAUGGGUUGUCAUUGUUGCAACAACCCCGGUCAGCGUGGCCGAAAUGCCCACCCCAUGGCCUCCUCCACCAGCAAUGGUGGCCUAACCCGCUGCCACUAGCCUCCUCUUCCUCCAAGCCCGAUGCCUUUAACUCUCCCCAUGUCUCCUUGCGCGUCGGUGGCCCCAAUCUCCUGGUUGUAUUUUGCAAUUGCAAAGGACAUUGUAUUCGUUGUGAGAUACUUAAAUCUGUUGAAAGGAUAUCGAAUUCUAUAAGCAACAUGCUUCUUGCUUGUGGAAUGUGCAGGCUAUUCUUUCAUGGAAAAUUUGGUCUUAGGAUACUUGGGGAUAGGAAAUAGAGAAUUAAUCAAGGUAGAUUGUUGUUAAUCCAUUUUGCUUCAUAUCCUUCUAUUGAUGUAUGAUUAGCUCGUUCUUUCUAGACUACGCCAUAUACAUCAUUUCUUUAGCAAAUUUAUUUACUCCUGCUUGCAUAACUAUGUCGUAUGCAUCAUUAUGCUUAGCUCCUGCUUGCAAGAUUACUUGAGGAUAAUAGGAAGCAAUUAUGGUUUCAGAAUAAACCAAUCAGAAUAAGAAACACAUCCUCUAUACUCACAUCAUCUUUUAUACCUCAAUGCUUGUAGGUGUAGUGUUUUUUGCCCCAUGCAAAUUUGUGUUACGUCAUCUUUUAGAUACAAAUCAUGGUACCCUUGUUCCUGUCUUGACAUCAUGGUCAUGUUUUAAAAAAAGCAUUUUCUUAUUUAUGUUACACCCCACAUGUAUGUAUACAUAUAUUUCUUUUUUAUGUCUCUUUGAAGGUUGUUAGUGCCACAUGUAGGUGGGGUUGUAUUUUUUUAUUGGUGAAAGUUGUUGGUUCUACAUGUUGUGUCACCUUAUAUAAGGUGUAUUACACUUUAAAUAGUAAUGUGCAUAUCUCCAAAAUUUGUAGGGCUUCAAAAUGAGUGCCAAAAUUCUGGCGAAAUGUUGAUUUAUUUCCAUUUCACCACAUUUUGAGCACUCAAUAUUUUCAAUUUUUUUAGCAAAACUAUGCCCAACUUUUCCAAUGAUUCAUAAUUGUUUACCCUUAUUAUUUUAUAGAUGUACUGGCUAUACUAUAGUGUAUAAAUGAUGCGACGAACUAUGUGUUUUCUAUUUAAUUUCUCAACAUGAAUGUAUGCAAUCAACCAUGUAUACCCAUGAUGUGGUAACAUCAACGUAGGUGUGUGCCACAGGUGCUUAUCAACUCUAAGGAAUUCUACGUAGAUCUUGACGAGAACUUUCCACAGAGGAUUGUACGUUUUAAUUCAACAUGUGUUGUGGAUGCUGAAUUGCUCACAUAUAUAAAAUUACCCAAAAAAUGUCUAUUUUUCAUAUUUCUCCAUGCAUCCCUUGUUAUGCAAGGCUCACUUCCUACAUAAAGUGAACGUGCCAUAGAGGAGAAGGUUACAUUUGAGCUCAAGAUGAUCAUGUUAAAAAAUGGCACAACCUUCAACCUUACGGUCACCAACGAGGCACACGGAACCUUUCAGUUGCCCAUGUUGAAGAGGGAUUGCAACCGAAUAAAUGAUGCAAAAUGCGAAGGCAUUCUUGUUUUUUUAGCGAAGGCGUUCUUUGUCGUUUCUUGGCGAACAAGAUGAUGAUGACAACAUCUAUAUGUGGUUCACACCGCCCCCACCACCAUAGUUGUUCUUGGUGGAAGGAUUCGGAGUUCAUAGGCAUAGUUUUAUCAUGCACUUCAUUUAAUGCAUAUGUUAUAUCUUUUUAUAAUCAUCCAAAUUUAUUCCUCAAAUAACGGCUAUAUCAUUUAAAAUUAAAAGAGAAAUAGAGUUUAGGGGACUAGAAUCCCAAAUAGAAGAGGGUCUAUAGGUAAAACUAGUCUUUGCUAGAGAAUCUGCUAUUUUGCUUCCCAAAGCAAUGGGCAAAAGAUGUGCCAGCAAAGUCCAUCACCAGAAAAUAGCAUUCCACGAUAGUGGCUGCAUCUGGCUCGAAAUUAUUCGUAUGCCAGUUCACAACCUCCACAACUAGGAUACCCAUGAUGUUUCGAUAAUCACAUUAGGUUUCCAUCACAUUAUUGCACACAAUGUUUCCAGCCAAACGAGCCCUUUGCGAAUGGCACUUAACUCUAUCAAAUCGGCACUACUGACAUGAGGCAAAUACCAUGUAACAGUGAAUGACACUUAACUCUAUCAAAUCGGCACUACUAACAUUAGGCAAAUACCAUGUAGCAGUGAAUGGCACUUAACUCUAUCGAAUCGACACUAUCGACAUGAAGCAAAUACCACAUAGCAGCGAGAGAAAGUUGCCUUUGUCAUCACGUACAAUAGCUCCCAUCGCACUCGAUUGUGUUUCAUAACGGAAAGAAGCAUCCACACUAACAUUAACACUUCCCAUGUUAGGUCUCUUCCAUAUAUGAUAUUUUUUUCAUACAGCUGAUUUGAAGUUACUGCUCUUAUGAAAUCUUUGGCCAAAACAUUGAUAGAAACUGCUCCCUUUUAGGGUUUUGGAGAGUGUAGGAUCGAAAGUAUGUCUAGUGGAGGGGGCUUCAUUAGACUACUUGAUAAGAUAAAAACUGAACCUUUUUCCUAAUUUUAGUUGUGGGCUAGUUUUAGCAAUUAUGACUAGUCAAGUUCAUCCUACUCAUGCAUAUCUAAGAUUAUAGCAGCGGAAAGUAAAGACAUGCAAAUGUAAUGAAGAGGGUAAGGUAGGAAGAUCAAAUGCAAAGGUCGACACGGUGAUUUUUGGCGUGGUUCUGAUAGGUGGUGCUAUCGUACAUCCAUAUUAGUGGAGACUUCAACCCACGGAGGGUAACAGCUGCGAGAUUACACAAAGGGCUCCACCCACAAGGGCUCCACGAAGAAGCGGCCUUGUCCAUUCCACCAUGGCUUACGUCCACACAAGACUAACCUCACUCACGGUAGAUCUUCACGAAGUAGGCGAUAUCCUUGCCCUUACAAACUUCUUGGUUCAACUCCACAACAUGAAGUAGGAGGCUCCCAAGCGACACCUAACCAAUCUAGGAGGCACCACCCUCCAAAAGUUAAUAGAUGCAAUAGAAGGAUGAACUCCUUGCUCUUGUGCUUCAAAAGAUAGUCUCCUCAACACUCAAUCACUCUCUCAUAGAUUUUGCAUGGGUAGGAGAGAUUGAUCCCAUGGAAAGCAACUUGGGGAGGCUAGAGAUCAAGUUUCAAAUGGUUGAAUUGGAAUCUCUUGAUCUUAACACAUGCAUGAGUAGGUGGCUUUCUCUCAGAAAUAUGGAUCUGGCAAGUGGGUGUGUGUUCUCAGUGCUUCCUUUUCGAAUGCGAGGAGGUGGAGGGGUAUAUAUAGACAUCUCCCAGAAUCCAACCAUUACCACAUUAUUUCCCAAUGCGGUGACACCGAAAGGAAUCUUAGUGGUACCAAGUUGCAAUAAAUGUGGCACCUUUUGAAUUCUUGGUAGACCAAUAUAUGAAUCUCGAUGGUAAAGAUACGAUGAUCUAGACCAGUUUCCAAAUCUCGGUGAGACCAAUUCCAAUCUCGGAAAUUCUGAUUGUUGGAAUUUUCUCAACAGAAAGUUGGUCAUUGAAUCUCGGUGGCUCUCAUAUGAAAGUUUGUGGUACCGCCAGAUUAGAGUCUGGCAACGGAUCCAUUGGGUGGAAAAUUAGUAGGGCCAAGUGGAAAAUAUUGGUGGCACCGAUUUUGCUCGUUUAGCUUUGGACAGGGAUAUCUUGUGGGAGAAUGGCUUAGUAGUUUUGGUGGCUAUCUCUAAGCACUUGAGCAACCAAUUCACCGUAAUACCUCACCCCCUUUAAAUAGUAUUGGCCUUCCUAUGGACUCAAAGUGAUUUAUCACAUAUGUAAAAUGUAGAGUCUUCUUGCUUGAAGCUUGAGCUAAUCCUAUUCCUUCCUUCAUCAAGGGGUUUCUCCACACAAUCCUUUAGCCAAGGCAUCUUUGAACUUUUCUAAAAUAUACUUGGAUAACAUCAUUAGUCCAAUGAUGCAUAUGUUGUGAUCAAUUAUCAAAACCACCUUAGGGAGCAAUUGUGCUUUAAAUCUCUCCCUUUUUGGUAACUGACGACAACAUAUAGAUCAAAGCUUCAACAAAAGGUAUAAUCAAUUAUUAGCAUCGACGCUUUGAGAAGUACGUGGAAAGCAAGAGAUGCCCCUAUAUUUGUGCAUUAUUUUAUAUUUGCAUUGGAAUGCAAAUGCACAAUCGAUUAGGAUCAUGGGUCACUCUUCCAUGUCACAUAUAGCUUGGUGGUGCGCAUAAAUGAUAUGAAUAAAUAGUAAUGCACAUAACACCAAACAAGCAAGUGAAUGAUCAUCAAGUAGAUGGCUCCAAGGUAAUAACGUGGUAGCAGCAAUCAAACAAAGUAUAGAUCAAACACUUCUCCCAAACACAUAAAGUCAACCAAAAGACCAAAAAAUUGAAAAACCAAAUGAGACCAAAUAAAAUGCAAACCUCUCCCUCUCGAAGACUAUUUGAUCUAUACACUUGUCCUCCUUUGGCGACAAGUUACCAAAAAGUUUGAAGGUCUAGAACUAAUUAUCUCUCUGGCUUGAACUCCUCCGGUAGAUGAUGAUGGAGUGGAUAGGAGAGCGUCGAUGAAGGCUUUUGCACAUGUCCCUGGAGCUGGAGGUGUUGACACUAGAGGUGCAGGAGCAGGAGUUGAAGGUGCUAAAGCUUGAGCUGAUGAAGAUGGUCUUGCUUCCAGAACUGGCAUAGUUGUUGACCUAGUCUGGGUCGUGAACUGAGUAGUAGUAGGAAGAGGCGACUCUUCCUCAUCACUUCUAGAGCGGGAUAUAUGCACAGAAUCAACUUUAUGCUGGAGCUGCUCAACAGUGGUAGUCAACUCCGUUACCUUAACCUCCAAGUCAUGGAAUUUUGUCUCCACGAUCCUCUCAAGUCUCUUCUGGUUCAGCAAGAUCUCGGAAAUUUUCUUCUCCAUCCCUUGGAUGGUACUGACCAAGAAUGACAUCUGCUCAUCUCUGGUCCUGAGCUAUGCGGUUGAAGCUGGAGCAUUCCUAGCAGCCGCUGUCUCUGCUACCUCUGCUGCCGCUUGAGCUGUAGCUGAGCUAGGAUGGCUAGGGUCCAUCACAACUUCAUUAUCUUCAAACUCUGGCUGAAGUGGCAGGUGGGGACGAUCAAGUAGAUAUGCAUGCUUGCCAAUCUUGGCAUUGAUGAGCAUCUGAAUAUAUGGAGCAUAUCCACAGGAUUUCUUUUGAUCUACAGCAGUCUUCCUCACAUGCUCAACUAUCAAGUCCAUCAUUAUGAACCGGAAGUGGGUGUCUAGAUGAUCCAACAUGUUGAUGGAAUAACCUCUAAUAAUCUUAUCCUCUCCUGAUUUGGGCAUGAGGGUGUAUCUCAUAAUGGUGUUUGUAGUAGGUAUCCCUGCUUGCAAGAAAUAGACAAAUCCAAACUUGUACAUCUGCACAUAUUUAUGAGGCACUGGCUUGUACAUUUUGCCGUAGAGUUAUGAUUCAUCUUGGGUUCUGAGUACACAUCCAGAUCUCCUUCUUGUGCCUUUGGAUCACCAAUUGUAGUGGCUCACUCAUACAUAAUAGACUCAUACCGGUGACCUUCAGUCAUCCAUACAAUCCUUCCGUCAGAACAGAAAUUAGCGAUGGAAUAGAAUUGCAUGAUCAUCUCAUCAUUCCAAGCAGUCAUCUCUCUGCCAACAAAAUAUUUAAUAUCGACUAGCCUGAAGUUUUCUCUCACAUGGGGAAAAUAAUGCUCACUGGCCUUGAUAUAUUCCCAAUGGACAUAUCUCAUAUCGCUGACUGCAAGACUCUUAUCAUGAAACACACUCUCAUAGAAAUCUUGUUGCUCCUUUAUGUGAAAGCGGGGAUCAACAACAGUUCUCCGUCUCACAUCAUAUGGAUCAACUGAUCUCCACUUACUCACUCCUUGAUCUCUCCUCUUUUGUAUGUCCUGAGCAGUUGGUGAGCAACAUUGUGUAGUGGCAGAUGAGCUCAAAGCUUCAUUAGAACAGGGGCACCCUCUUCCUCUUCUACCGCAAACUCUCUGGAUGCAGAGCCUUUGUUCCUCUGUGCUGCAGGAAUGUCCUUGGUAGUCUUCUUGGGAGCUACAGACUUCUUAGGAGUUGAGAACUUCUUGGGAGCAGAAGGCUUCUUUGGCAUAGCAUCAACCAUCGGCUUUUUCUUCAUAGGAGGAGGGACCUUAUGUGGAAUUUAUUCCUCCUCCUCAUCAACAACUUCUUCUGGGUCUUCAUAUAUUGAGGUUGGCCUUCCAAUAACAUAGUCAAUUCUCUUUCUUGCUCUCGUAUGACAUGGCUUCUUUGCAAGCCUAGCUUCUGGAGCUUUCAUGUCAGAACGUAUGGCAUAUUCCUUCCUCACAGUCUUCCUGACUGCGGUCUUAUCUUUCUGCUUCUCAGGAACAGAUUCCUCUGGAAUAAAGUCAACAUCUUCUUCAUCCGAAUUGAUCUUCCUUCUGGACCUGGUAGCUGCCUUGGACAAGCUAUGGGAGCUAGGUGUCCCUGGGUCAGAAGGUGUCCUCCUAGGACUAGUGCCUGAAUCCAUCUCAGCACUUGGCUCAGUGAAGUUGUUCUGACUAUCCUCUGAUCCUGACAUACUGUCACAGAGCCAAGUAGACAAUCAAACCCUAUGAAUAGAUAUACAAGAUCUAGAAGGGAUGAGCAUCACAAAAAUCAGAAGUUUUGGAAAAAUCGAACUCUGAAAAGUUAGGUUUAACAUUUAGCAAAAAAGGAUUUGUGUUCCAUCGAGACAAAAAUUUCGGAGGCACCGAUACUGACGUACUAAUUAACAGAAACUUGGCACCCUUUUCCGUUCCACUGAAAAGGAGAACUCACUUUCACCGAGACCGUUCUCGGUAGCCCUAAAAAAUCGUUAAGACCAACUUUUCUAAAUCGGUGACACCGAGAUUCAAUCUUGCGGAUGGCUAACCCUAAGAAUUCCAUUGUUCUCUAAUCUAUGGAAUUUUUCUUCUAGAUAGGAUGAGUGUAGAAGUGGACAAAAUUCAUCAAAACCUUAAUGCACAAGAAUCAGAAUUGGAGCGCAUAAAGGGGUCGGAUCCGUACCCUAGCUUGGUGAUGUAUCCGCUACGGCAACGACGACGGUGAAGAUUCCUGUUGACAACGAAGACUCCGGUGGUGAGGGCGCACGUGAGAAUUAAGGCGAUGUCCACGGGACUAGGGCGCGGCAUCGAGGAUGUGCGUCACGCGACGUUUGAAGUGAUUUUCCAAUCAUCGGGUCCGUGAGAUAUAUAUAUCUCCUAGCUGUCGGUGACACCGAUAUGGAAUUUUUGGUGCCACCGAGUUCCACAACUGUCAACUGAAAGUGAAAAUAGGUGAGGCCGGAAAGAACAACUCAGUCAUACCAAGUUAAGAAAACCUGAUCAACCCUAGGCUUCGGUGGGACCGAGAUUUUGUGGUUGGUCACACCGAGAUGCAAUUUGGGAGGUUUUGGGAUUCAGCACUUGUCGAGACGGAUCUAUCAAGCACUUGUGUCCCUAAAGUUCUUGCUCAAAUUUUGUGUUGUAGCAUGAAUAGAAUUUGAGACGAGAAAGCAUAGAUAGCUAGAGGGAAGUACUUAGGCAUUCUUGUAUAUCCAAUUGGCCAAAUGAAAUAGAAAGACAAAUAACAACAAUUGGAUAUCCUCGAAUGAGAAAAAUAUGCAUACCAACAUGCUCACACAAUAAGGUGUCAAAUAAAACAUGGUGAACAUGCACGAACAUUCUAGCAUCUAUCAAGCACUUUGGCGAUAAGGAAUUCAUCUAUAUAUGAGUAUAUUGACAUAGGAGCCAAGUAAGAGUACUUGACAAUAGGUCAUACUCAUCGAUUAAGAACAAGUGGGGUUAUCACUUUUACAUAAAACAUUAAUGUGCUCACAUCAUUUAGGAGACGCUUAUACUCAAGUCUUAGAGUAAAGCUCCUCCUAGAUGUGACAACCCCCUAAGAGGGAUAAACUAACCUUAGGUUUUGUAGUAGAAGAUUUCAAGUAGGUGUAGUAGUGGUGCAUGCUCAUUGUUGAUAAAGAUCAUCUUUGAGUUGGGAGCAAUCCUAGUUGUUUCUUACCCUUCUCACCUACAUGGGUUAGUCCCAAAGCAAAAGGAAUGUAUGCAAGAAUAUCUAUGGACAUGGCAUGAAGUGCAUGAGAGGUGAUGUAAAAAUAUGCAUUAAUUACCUUGUCCUUUGCUUACCUUUGAGGUAAUGUGUGACUCCUUGAACUAAUGCAUAUGGUUGGAGUUGAUUGCAUAUAGUUCUUGCCAAAAUGAAUAAGAGUGAAUUUGAUUGGUAGAGUCACCCCCUCAAGAAGUUUCUAGUUCUUCAUCUUAGGGACCCACAUCAACUUGAUGGGGAUCCUUGGAGUUGUGAUAGCAGUAGAUGAGGUAGUGUUAGUUGUGUCCAUGGGAUUCCACUCGACCUUGGCUUGGGUUUCUUCCUCAAAUGAUUCAAUCUCCUCUUGAAGCUUUCCCUUGCCCUUGUGAUCUUGUGGUUGAAGGUCAUGUUGAGAGCUUGUUCCCUUGGGAAGAGUAGGAUCAUACUUUUCCUCUUGAGGAACGAACUUCGGUAUGGGAUAUAGACCUUCUUCCCAUUCAUCUCCGUUGGCAUUGAGGUAACCAACACCGUGCUUCUUCCGAUGUCCUCCUAGCUUGCGCAUAAUUUACUCGAAUUGCUAACUUUCGGCAAGACUCUUGAAGACACCUCUCUCUUCCUUUCCAUAAAUCAUUUUCUUUCUCAAGUGUAACUUGGCUAAGAGAAUCAUUAGUGGAAUCAAGAGAGCUACUAGAAACAACAUCAUUUGAUCUAACUUUAGCAUUUUGUUACUAGAUGAAGAAACUUUCUUGCAUUUGUUACUAGUGUUCUUAGGUUUGACUUGUGGAAUAAAAGUAGAUAAGAUUAAUCAUUUGAAUAGAUAAGAAUAACUCUUCUUCCGAAGAUCAUCAUUGAUUGCUCUUAGAAACUCAUGAUCUUGUCCUAAAUUUAGCUUCUCGAAGCAUAACUUCUCAUGAGUUCUUGCAAGCUCCCUUUGAUCUUCUAGAGUAGUUUCACGAGCUAACUUAAGAGUGUUAAAUACUUUAGUUAGUUGUUGAGUAUCUUUCUUAUCAUCAUCAUUCGAUUUCUCUUGACUAGCAUGAUUAUGUUCAAGUUCAUUUUCAAUGUUCUCACUAGUCUUAUCAAGGAGCAAGUCAUCUCCUCCUAACAAGUCAUCCUCAUCACUAUCAGAGUCAAAGUAAUUGGGGUGUGAUACCUUGGGGCCUUUUUCCAUGAAGUUGUUUCCAGUCCCUUCAUUUGGUGAAUCAAAUAAGUCAUAGGAGUUGGAGGAAACGAGUUCAAGACCGACAACACCUUCAUCUUGACUAUAGUCAGAGUUGGAGUGGUAGCUUCUCUCAGAUUGGUUGUCAGACUCGGAGCCGGAAAGCCUUUCACCAACAUGAUCUUGAUGUCUUGUUCUUGAGAUGCUCUUGGUGUACUUGUCCUUCCUCUCCAAUUCCUUUCCUCUCUGGGAGUGUCUUCGUUCAUAAUGAUCUUCUCUAAUCCUUCUCUUUGUGAGAGGUGACUCAUCUCUUGAGCUUCGUCUUCUAGGUGACUAUUCUCUUCUUUUGUGGGGAGCCGAGCACUCAUUGGAAUAGUGUCCUGGGUUUCCAUAGUUGUAGCAGUAUCGGUCACGACUAGACGAACGCUUCUCAUCAUGUAUUGAGCUUGAGCUUCUCUCCUUGCAUCUACUUUUGUAGAACUUGUUCAAUUUUAUGACCAUGAGGUUGAUCUCUUCAUUCGUAACAAAGUUGUCAUUUGAAGUAUCUUGAGUAUAACUUGAAACUCUGUAAGUACCGCUUGACUUGUUGUGCAACUCAUCUUUGUCCUUGAGUGACAUUUCAUGAGCAACAAUCCUUCCAAUAGCUUCAGUUGGCUUGAGAUCCUUGUAGUUUGGCAUCAUUUGAAUUAAUAUACACACGGUGUCGUAUCUUCCAUCCAAGGCUCUAAGUAUAUUCUUGAUGAUGAAUUAGUCGGUCAUCUCUUCACUUUCUAAGUCGGCAAUCUCAGCGACUCCCUCACCAUCCUUCAUCUUGAACUUGUCAAGAUGACUUUGAGGCACAUCCAACUUAGAUUCCAUGACAAAAUCAGCACCUUCGUGCAGAUGAAUCAAAGUAUCCCACGUGCAGAUGAAUCAAAGUAUCCCAAAUUUUCUUUGCAUUCUCAAGGCUUGAGAAUUUUAUUGCAACAUGUUCAAUUCUUCCGAUGUCGCAUCACGAUCCGGUUCCCUUGCUUCUCCAAAUAAAUCACCUUGCACACCAACACGAAUAACAGCCCAAACGGUAGGAUUAUGACCAAGAAUAUGCAUUUUCAUCUUAUGCUUCCAACUAGCGAAGUUUGUACCAUCGAAAUAUGCACCUCUACAGUGAUAAUUUCCCUCACUAGGCGCCAUACUCUCCUAGGUUGUGAAACCAAUGCAAUGGAGGCCAAAACUUUGAUACCACUUGUAGGAUCGAAAGGAUGUCUAGAGGGGGGAGGGUGAUUAAACUACUUGACAAGAUCAAAACUUAGCCUUUUCCCAAUUUUAGUUGUGGUCCAGUUUUAGAAACUACGAGUGGUCAAGUUCAGCCUACACAUGCAUAUCUAAGAGUAUAGAAGCGGAAAGUAAAUACAUGCAAAUGUAAUGUAGAGGGUAAGGUAGGAAGAUCAAACACAAAGGUUGACACAACUAUUUUUGGCGUGGUUCCGAUAGGUGGUGCUAUCAUACGUCCACAUUAGUGAAGACUUGAACCCAUGGAGGGUAAUGACUGCGAGAGUCCACGGAGGGCUCCACCCAUAAGGGGUCCACGAAGAAGCGGCCUUGUCUAUUCUACCAUGGCUUACAUCCACACAGGAGACAAGACUAGCCUCACUCACGGUACAUCUUCAUGAACUAGGCGAUCUCGUUGCCCUUACAAACUUCUUGGUUCAACUCCACAACACGAAGUAGGAGGAUCCCAAGCGACACCUAACCAAUCUAGGAGGCACCACCCUCCAAAAUGUAAUAGAUGCGGUAGAAUGAUGAACUCCUUGCUCUUGUGCUUCAAAAGAUAGUCUCAUCAACACUCAAUCACUCUCUCACAUAUUUGGCAUGGGUAGAAGAGAUUGAUCUUGUGGAAAAAACUUGGGGAGCCUACAGAUCAAGUUUCAAAUUGUUGAAUUGGAGUCUCUUGAUCUCAACAGAUCAGUAGGUUGCUCUCUCUCAGAAAUAUGGAUCUCGCAAGUGGGUGUAUGUUCUGAGUGCUUCCUCUAUGAAAUUGAGGAUGUGGAGGGGUAUAUAUAGGCAUCUCCCAAAAUCCAACCGUUACAACAUUAUUGCCCAACUCGGUGACAUUGAAAGGAAUCUUGGUGGUAUCGAGUUGCACUAAAUGUGGCAACUUUUGAAUUCUCGAUGAGACCAAUAUAUGAUCUCGGUGGUACCGAUACGAUGACCUAGACCAGUUUCCAAAUCUCAGCGAGACCGGCUCCAAUCUCGGAAAUUCUGAUUCUUGGAAUUUUCAUAACAGAAAGUUGGUCACUGAAUCUCGGUGGCACUGAUAUGAAAGUUGGUGGUACCGAGAGAUUAGGGUUUGGCAAAGGAUCUCUCUGGUGGAAAAUCAGUAGGGUCGAGUGGAAAAUAUUGGUGGCACUGAUUUUGCUGGUUUAGCUUUGGACAAAGAUAUAUUGUGGGAGAAUGGCUGAGUAUUUUUGGUGGCUAUCUCUAUGCACUUGAUCAACCAAUUCAUCAUAAUACCCCACCCCUUUUAAUAGUAUUGGGUUUCCUAUGGACUGAAAGUGAUUUCUCACAAAUGUAAAAUGUAGAGUCUUCUUGCUUGAAGCUUAAGCCAAUCCUAUUCCUUCCUUCAUCAAGGGGUUUCUCCUCACAAUCCUGUAGCCAAGGAAUCUUUGAAUUUUUUCCGAAAUAUACUUUGAUAAGCUCAUUAGUCCAAUGAUGCAUAUGUUUUGAUCAAUUAUCACGACCACCUUAGGGAACAAUUGUGCUUUCAGAGAGUUUCACCCCUCACAAACUGUUGUCGUUGCCACCAUAUAAACUAAGAAGCCACUACAAUCAGUUAUGAUGUUGGCAGCUCCCCUACUUUGGAUUGGUUUCUCUCUAAAACCUCAAUAGUUACAGAUCCUGACCGGUCCUCACAAACUGCCUUAUGGAUCACAUCUUUCACUCCAAGCUUUUUCCAAAUUCUAGAAGCACAACAAGAGGUGAAUAAGUAGUUAGAUAUCUUCAAACCCAACAUUGACUAGUAACAUGUAUGUGACAGCCAGUGAGCACUCCAAAGCAUGGUCGAAUUCCCCUCAGAACCUUCCAUGCAAAGGGUUUAACUUUGCGACAAACUCGAAGCCUUCAAGUAUGUUGUGUGUAAGUGUUAAACAUAAGAAAGUUGUUAAACUAAAUUGUGUUCUUAAUUUGUGCUAUAUAACUAGAUAUUGUGCCUUCUAUGAUACUACAAUUACUGUUAAACUGAAAAGCCCGCCACGACAACCAAAAAUGUUGACGUGUUCACUUGGCCUGACAAACAAUACUAGUGGCGGGCAUGUAUAAUAAACUGCCACUGGUACAAACAUUAGCAGUGGUGGACGCCCUGCCUGCCACUGAUGACUGGUUAGUAGCGACAGACACCCUUCACAAUAACCCUGCCAUUGGUAGGCAUUUUGUGUCUGCCACUGCUAGCCUGUUCUCCAGUAGUGACAAGGGUUUUCCUCCAAGACUAUAUCAUUCAUACCUAGUAUGCGUAGGAGUUAUCACCCGAUUUAAUGCAUGCAUGAUAGCAUGAAUCCUUUAGGGAUAAUUUGGAAGCAAGGUAAAGAAAAUGAGGGUAGCAAAUCCUCCCUUAUCACAUGAAUUUAAACAUCCCAUGUUAUUCACUUUAUUAAGUUGCCCCAUUUCAUUAAGUAAAAUUGUGCCCCUCAAAUUCACAAGAUUCCAAAGUUGUGGGAAUGAAAAGUACAAUGAGACGUCCAACUAAAUCAUAUAAUGUUUGUGAAUUUUGAAUCAAAGUUUUUUGAUUGUGCCACAGAAAGAACAAGAAUAUUAUUUACACUUUGUUUGAGCCAAUGCAAUUUUUCUUAUGUAAUGCAAGCAAAAUUGAAUCUGAAGGAGAAAAAUUUCCAAUAGGAUACGACUUUGGGGAUCAAAUAACACCCAUAGUAAAAAAGCAUAGGUCUAUUUAUAUCACAUCUAUAUUAUCUCACAUCUAAGUUAUGACAUCAGCGAAAGUCAAUGCUUUUCCAGCCCACCGCAUUUUCUUAUAUUUAUUUUUUUGCGACAUUUUUUCAUUCGUUUUUUUAUUGGAGCGUGCUAAAAAAUGCAAUAAGACUUGCCUAUGAAUCGAACUCAAGACUAGAUGGUGGUAGUUGAGAGCUCCCACCAGUAUAACCAUUACAUGCAUUUGAUAAAUUCUAAGCGGCAUAUCUUUAAGAAAAUACAACAGAGUUGAUAUUAGAAGAAAUUUUCAAGAAAAAUGUAAAAAAUUUUAAAUGUAAAAUAUUUCUGAAAACCAAAGAAAACUUGAAAUUUCCAAAGUAUUUUUCAAAUAUAAAUAAAGUUUGUAAUGCCAAACAUUUUUUGAAAAAUUAGAAAACAAUUUGAUAUUCCGAUUUUCUUAAAAAAGAUGACACUUUUUGAAAAAUUCCCGAACAAUUUAUAAAUCAGGUACACCUUUUAAAAUUCCAAUUCCUUUAAAAAACAUGGUUAAAUGAAUAUAUUUUUAUUGUAAUCAUAACUUUUCAACAAAUGUUUUUUUGCACCAUUAAAAGAAUGAGGGUGCAAAGAAUGUUCAUGUAGUUCACAAGAAUGUCCGUGAUGUUUAAUAAAAAUGUAUUAUACAAUGGAAAAUAAUCAUAACAUUCAAAUAAUUAUUAUUUACAAUCUUUUAAAAGAAACUUCACGCAUUUAGAAAAAUCAAAACAUUUUCUAGAAAAAAUAUUUGUCCGAUGUAAAAAAAAUGUUCACGUAUUUUUUUAAAAAUCAUACAAUUUAGAAAAAUGAUUUAAAAAAUGUUUACCAUGUAUUCUAAGAAUGCUUGGGCCUGUACUUGGAAAAAAAUAUUCAUCAUGCAUUUUUAAACAAUGGUAUGUGUGUUAAAAAAUGUUCCUAGUGUAUACAUGAAAAUGUACAAUGUGCAUUACAAAAGUUGACAUGUAUUUGUGAAAGCUAAAUUGCUCCCUAAGGUGGUUUUGAUAAUUAGUCACAUCAUAUGCAUCAUUGGACUAGUGAGUUUAUUCAAAUGCAUUUAAAAAAGUUCAAAGAUGCUUUGGCUAUAGGAUUCUGUGGAGAUACCCCUUUGAUGCAAGGAAGGAAUAUGAUUGGUUCAAGCUUCAAGCAAGAAGACUCUACAUUUUAUACUUUGUGAGAAAUCACUUUGAGUCCAUAGAAAAGCCAAUACUAUUAAAAAAGAGUGAGGUGUGAUGAUGAAUUGGUUGCUCAAGUGCUUAGAGAUAGCCACCAAAAAUACUGAGUCACUUUCCGACAAAAUAUAUAUGUCCUAAGCCACAUAAGCAAAAUCGAUGCCACCAACAUUUCCUACUCGUCCAUACCGAUUUUACACUUAGACAAAUUAUAUGCCAAACCCAUCAUCUCGGUACAACCAACAUUCCUAUCGGUGCCACCGAGAUUUGGUGACCAACAUUCUGUUGAGAUGAUUUCAAGUUUCGGAUUUUUUGAGUUUGAAUUUUGUCUCACCGAGUUUUGGAAACCAGUCUAGGUCAUCGUAUCGGUACCACCAAGAUUCUUAUAUCGGUCUCACCGAGAAUUCAAAAGUUGCCACAUUUAGUGCAACUUGGUACCACUGAGAUUCUUUUUGGUGUCACCGAGUUGGGCAAUACUGUUGUAACGGUUGGAUUUUGGGGGAUGCUUAUAUAUACCCCUCCACCUACCUCUCAUUCGUAGAGGAAGCACUCAGAACACACUUACACUUGUGAUAUCCAUUUUUCUGAGAGAGAGACACCUACUCAUGUGUUGAGAUCAAGAGAUUCCAAUCCAUUCAUUUGAACCUUGAUUUCUAGCCUUCCCAAGUUGCUUUCCACAAAAUCAAUCUCUCUUACCCAUGCCAAAUCUAUGAGAGAGUGAUUGAGUGUUGAGGAGACUAUCUUUUGAAGCACAAGAGCAAGGAGUUCAUCGUUCUACCACAUUGAUUACCUUUUGGAGGGUGGUGCCUCCUAGAUAGGUUAGGUGUCUCUUGGGAGCCUCUUACUUCGUAUUGUGGAGUUGAACCAAGAUGUUUGUAAAGGCAAGGAGAUCGCCUACUUCAUGAAGAUGUACCGUGAGUGAGGCUAGUCCUUCGUGGGCGGAAGCCGUGGUGGAAUAGACAAGGUCACUUCUUCGUGGACCCCUUGUGGGUGGAGCCCUCCGUGGACUCUCGCAGCCGUUACCCUCCAUGGGUUGUAGUCUCCACUAACAUGGACGUACGAUAACGCCACCUACCGGAACCAUGCUAAAAAUCUCCGUGUCAACCUUUGUGUUUGAUCUCCCUACCUCACCCUCUACUUUUUUUUGAUGGGAAACUGUAAGCAAAACCCCUCACAACGAGUUUUUUUUGAAAUAAUAAGAACUCAAAUUCGCGCCCGUGGGGACUUGAACGUGGGUGGCUGGGUUGUACAUCUACUCCACUAGACAAGUGAGCUAGGCUCACUUCCUUUACUCUUGCAUGUUUUACUUUCCGCUGCUAUACUCUUAGAUAUGCAUGUGUAGGGUUUACUUGACUAGUUAUAGUUGCUAAAACUGUCCCACACUUCAAAUUGGGAAACAACUAAGUUUUUAUCUUGUCAAGUAGUCUAAUCACCCCGCCUCUAGACAUACUUUCGAUCCUACAAUUUGGAAAAAUAACUAUAUAGGGGUACUGGGUUGGGAAUGAUUUGCAUGAGGAGAGUGGACAUGCAACUAUGUCGGACAUGAGCUGCAUGACUGAGUCGGGUGGGUUUACGUGUUGGGGUGGAAUGGAACUAGAUAGGGGCCGAGGCAAGUUGCGUGUUGAAAAACAAAACACAAGCUUACUUGUGCAUUAAGGGUGGACUUGCAAUUGGAAGAAGAGCUAGGUUGUGAGUGGAGGAUAGACUUACAUAUGGGACAACUACAAAUUGAGACCAAUUGCGUGUCAAUGGUUGACUUAAAACUGGGAUAAAACAAACUAUGGUUCAAGUUGCGAGUUAACGGUGGAUUUGCAACUAGGAUGAUGACAAAAAUAUAGGCUCACUUGCGAGUCAUUUGUGGGCUUGCAACUGGAAUAAAACAAACUAUGAGACUAGUUGCGAGUCGAUGUUGGACUUAUAACCGAGACAAGCAUAUAAACUAUGAUACGAGUUGAGAGUUGAGAGUAAACUUGCAAUUGAGAUGAAAAACAAAACACAUACCCAAUUGCGUGUCGAGGAUGGACUUGUAACUGAGAAAACAAAAAUAUGGGCCCGACUGCGAAUCGAGGAUGGACUUGCAACAGGGACAACAAAAAAACUAUGAUCCCACUUGUGAUUCGAGGACAAACUUGCAAUUGAGGCCCCUACAAGUACAAAGCCCUUAGUUACGAGUUGAGGUUGGAUUCGCAACUCGGGAAACUACAGGUACAGAAAGCCCAGUUGCGAGUCGAGGAUGGACUUGGAACCUUGAAAAUACGACUACAAAAAAGCCUCUGUUCCGAUUUGAGGGUGGACUUGCAACUGGGGCAACUACAUGUACAAAAAGGUCCCAGUUGUGAGUCGAGGGUAGAUUUUCAACUACGAUAACUACAGGUACAAACCUCGAGUUACGAGUCAACGGUGGACUUGCUACUAGGGUACCUAAAAUUACAACGCCUCGAGUUACGAGUCGGCGAUGGAGUUGAAGCUGGUGCACCUACAACUACAAAGCCUCGAGUUGCGAGUUGAGGAUGGACUUGCAACUAGAUUAACUACAAAGUACAAAAGAAAACCAGUUGUGAGUCAAGGGUUGACUUGCAACUAAGACAUCCACAGUUACACAAAAACCCCUAGUUGCAAAUCAAGGAUGGACUUGCAAGUGGAGCAACAAUAGGUACAAAGCCAGUUGUGAGUCGAUGGUAGACUUGCAACUUGGCCAACCACAACUACAAUACCUUCAAAAGAAGGGUGAAACUAUGAAAUUGGGAUGAAACCAACUAUGGGACCAGCUGCGUGUCGAGGGUGGACCUGGAACCGGGAUAAGAAAAAAAGUACAAGCUCAAGUUGUGAACCGAUGAUGGGGUUGAAACUCGAACAACUACAGGUUCAGUUACGAGUCGAUGAUGACUCCAAACUUGCACAACUACAAAACUAGGAGCCCAGUUGCGAGUCAUGGGUUGAUUUGCAACUAGGAUAAAACAAACUACUGGACCAGUUGCGAGUCAAGGGUGGACCUGCAACCGGCAUGAGAAACUAAACACAGUCUGAGUUGCGGCUCAAGGGUGGGCUUGAAACUGCUAUGAAACAAACUUCAUGCCUAGUUGCGAGGUCAGGAUGUACUUGUAACUGGGACAACUACAUGAAACUAAGAUAUGAGUUGCAAGUCGAGGGUGGACUUGCAACACGGACAAACUACACAAAACUACGAUACGAGUUGUAGUCGCGAGGGUGAACUUGUAACUGGGACAACUACAAAACUACGAGUCGAGUUGCAAUUCAAGUAUAUCAUUGCAAUUGGGAUGAAACAAACUACGGGCCUAAUUGCGAGUCAAGGGUGAACCUGUAACUGGGAUGAAAAACUACACAUAGACCGAGUUGCGAGUCAAGACUAGACUUGCAUCUAGGAUGAAAUAAACUACGGGCCUAGUUGUGAGUCAAGUGAGUACUUGCAACUCGGGAAAAUACACAAAACGACUACGAGUAGCGAUUCAACAGUUGACUUGCAACUCGGACAACUAAAUGAAACUACGAUAAGCGUUGCGAGUCCAGGGUAGACUUGCAGCUGGGACAACAAUAAGGCUAUGGGCUCAGUUGCGAUUCGAAGGCAAAUUUGCAAUUGGGACAACUACGAAACCAUGAGCCCAGUUGUGAGUCAAGGGUGAACUUGCAACCAGGAUGAAACAAACUACAUGCCUAGUUGCGAGGCAAGGGAGGACUUGCAACUCGGCAAGUACACAAAACUACCAUACUAUUUGGGAGUCAAGGAUGGACUUGCAACCGAAACAAUAACAAACUACGAGCCCAGUUACGAGUUGAAUGUGGACUUGCAACUAGGAUGAGAAAAACACAUAAUGAUUUAUGAGUUUAGGGUAAACUUGUAACUAGGAAAACUAAAAAUUCAUUUACGAGUUAAAGAUGGACUCUACAAAUUCUCGGUCAUGCCAAAAAAACACACAACGAAAAUGAACAAAAAAUAUAAAGGGAUCGCGCCUCCCAAGCAACGAUAAAAGUAACAUGAGAACAUGCGAGCAUAAAACAAAAUGGAACAAGAGGACGCGCGACAAGAGAGAAAGAGCUGACACGGACGCACAUGAUCGACUUUGUGCAAACAUCAAACAAAUCAGAUGAUUAUAACUUGAUAAGACAUCACUAAAUCUCAUCUAAAUAAGAUUUAGCAAAUCUAAAAAAUAUCUAGUUACACUCUCCUCUACUACACAGUCAAACUAAAAUAAACAUAUAACCCACAAAAAGCUAGUACACACAACGUAAAAGGGCACACUAAAAAAAGUCAUAUAUGACCUCACUGCUUAACGAGGAGCGAAUGAAAAACACGACACAUCAACAAUGAAAGUGAAUCAUAAGCAUAUGAAUCAGAUGAGACGUUGUUAACUCACAUUUACUCCCUCCGUACCUAAAUAUAAGUCUUUUAAUAUAUUUCAUUAGGUGUCUACAUACAAAGCAAAAUGAAUGAAUCUAUACUCUAAAACAUGUCUAUAUACAUUUGUAUGUAGUCCAUUAGUGCAACAUCUAGAAAGACUUAUAUUUAGGAACGGAGGGAGUAGAUGAGAAUUAGACGUGAGUUAACAAAAACAAUAAAAAAAGAAACCCCUGGAUCAUACCGUAGUGACCCACCAAAUGACGCACGUAGAAGUAGGUAAGUAAGUAAGUAUCUUGGAUUACCUGCGAUAGUGGGAGCAGAUAGGAGUGAAAGCUUUGAAUACUUUUGUGACAAAAUCAAGAAGCUUCUGAAGGGGUGGAUGGAAAAGCAACUGUCAACAGGAGGGAAAGAAAUCUUGUUAAAAGCAGUGGCUCAAUCCAUCCCUGUCUUCGCUAUGUCAGUUUUCUGUUUGCCUAAGGGAACUUGCAAGGAUAUCACGGAUGUAAUUGCUCAGUAUUGGUGGGGAGAUGAUGAAGAAAACAAAAAAAUGCACUGGUUCUCGUGGUGGAAACUAUGCAUCCGAAGUGUGAUGGUGGCAUGGGUUUCCGCGAUCUUCACUCUUUUAACUUGGCCCUUCUUGCGAAACAAUGUUGGAGAUUGAUCACAAGGUCGGAGUCCAUCUGUGCUCGCAUCUUGAAGGCAAAAUACUACCCAAAUACAGACUUGCUACACGCUGGACCAAAGAGCGGAUCUUCGUUCACAUGGCAAAGCUUGAUGGCGGGCUUGACUGCGUUUAAAAGAGGGUACAUUUGGCGAAUUGGUUCGAGGGAAAAUGUAAGUAUAUGGAAUGAUCCAUGGAUACCCUCAAGCCCGGACAGAAGGGUGAUAACUCCUCGGCGGCAGAUUCUGAUUUCGAGGGUGGUAGAGCUCAUUGAUCCAGUCACCGGCCAAUGGGAUGAACAAUUGAUACGAGACAUCUUUUACCCAGUCGAUGCAAACAGAAUCUUGCAGAUACCUUUAAAUUUUCAAGCAUUUGAUGACUUCAUUGCGUGGCACCUCACAAGGAAUGGUAUUUUCUCGGUGAGGAGUGCUUAUCAUGAACAAUGGUCACAUAAGCUCAGGGGUCAAUCCCUUGUGAAUUCAGUGUCCACCAGUACUAUGCAGGCAGCUAUUUGGAAGAAGCUCUGGGAGUUACAAGUGCCAUGGAAAAUACAGAUUUUCUUUUGGCGGGCGUUGCGUGGAAUUGUACCACUAAAAUCCAUUCUUGCUAAUAAGCACAUCCCUAUUGAUGGGGAGUGUCCGGUGUGCCAUAGGGGACCUGAAGACAUGCGGCAUAUGUUAUUCCAGUGUGAUUUGGCGAGAAGGUUGUGUGCUGGACUAGGGCUGAUUGAUCGUAUUGAACAAGCAGUUCAAGUGGAUCGCUCAGGGUCAGCCAUCUUAGAAUUUCUCCUACUAGAGCUGGACCAACCAAUGUCGAUCAUGUCAAGUAUUAAUGACAAAGAGGUAAUAGCGGCUGGCUGCUGGUAUCUCUGGUGGCUCCGCCGGCGACACACCCAUCAUGAUUCUUGCCCUCCAUCCUUCAGGUGGCAUACCUCAAUUCUAGCAAUAGUGGGAAAUUACAUAAAAUCUUUAUCAAAGAAGAGGGAACCGGUGGAACACAAGUGGAAGAGACCAGAGGCAAGAUUUAUAAAGCUAAAUGUGGAUGCUUCAUUCCAUUCAGAUGAAGGAUCGAGUUCUACUGCAGGUAUCUUACGAGAUGAAAAGGGUGGCUUUAUUGCAGGGUUUUGCAGAUUCAUUCCCUUUGCAGCUGACGUUGUCACGAUUGAAGCAAUGGCAAUGCGAGAUGGUUUACAUUUGGUGAACUCCUUGGGCUUUAACAGGGUAGAAGCGGAAUCAGAUUCUUUGAGCGUCAUCAAGUGUUGCCAAGGGCAAGAUCAGUGGUGGGAUGCAGCAGCGGCUGUCUUUGCUGAGUGCAUAGAUAUGGCUACAUCUAUAGGAAAGGUCAUCUUUUCUCAUUGUUUUCGUGAAGCUAAUUCAGUAGCUCAUGAGCUAGCAAAGUUUAGUUUCUGUAAUAAAGUUGAGCACAAUUGGACUAAUGAACCUCCUGAGUUCUUAGUUAGCCAAUUGAUGAAUGAUGUUUUGAUUAUUUGAGUUAAUAAAGCUAGCCAUGAUGGCCUUUCCUCAAAAGAAAAAAGGAAACGCAUGUACGCGACACUAGAUGCAGCAACAAAAUAAUCCAUGAUUAAGAUUUGAAAAAAUGUAAAACAAACAGAUGAGAGUAUGUUUUUCAUGAAUAUUAAAAAAAAUGGAAAACAAGAAAAUACAAAUAUAAAUAAAAGAAAACCAGGAAACUAAAAUACUUGAUAAUUUGAAACAAAUAAUAAAACAGAAAAAAGAAAAAGAAAAAGAAGAAACAACAAAAGUAAUGCGGCAGCCGAUAUAGGCUACAGCCCAUAUAACAAGAAGAACCUAUAGGUACGAGGGCAGCUACCUAACAUACCGUUGGCGAUCCUAAAAAAAGUGAUCCUCAAACGCAACAUUCGUUUCUUCAAAAACAGGGUUGGGGGGGGGGGGAUAACAUAGUGUAUGAAACAGAACUACUAGACGGAUGAAAAAAGCAAAUCAAUCCGUGGUUGGAUGAUUGGAGAGACAGUGAUAUCCCAGCACAUCAGGGUUUAAAUCCUGAUGCUACACUAUUUUUAAAUUUAUUUCAGGAUUUCCGACAAUAUGCUUUCAGUGGGAGGAGACAUUCCCGUCGAGGAUAAGAUGCCUACAGUGACUUUGUAAAUCUCAAGACGAUAUACUCGCUCAGUCUUUGAGAGAUGUUCAUAGGGAUAAGAUGUGUGUAUGUUCGGUUUAGGAGUUAAAUCUGAGAUAAGUAUUUUACAUCUAGAUGUGAAAUAGCAAUUUCAAAAAUUCAUAUGAAAAAUCUCUGAAUGAAAAAGACUCAUUAACUUAGAAACUCCAUGCAAAAAUACAAGGCUAACUUUUUUUCUCUUAAAUAAAAAAGAAAAAUAGAGAAAAAUGACGGAGGAUAACACUUGGCAGUGGGCGGGUGAAACACAUCACAAUUUUAUUUUCAAAUUGAUCUCUAACCAGGAAAAUACCCCGCGCAUACAACCAAGACCACGCACUCACCCCAUCGCAUGGCCUCCACACGCCUUGUCGAUAUCCAUGGUGGCAUCUAGCGCCGGCCGGGUGGCACGGAUCCCCCUUCACUCCCUCAGCGUGUGAACGUCGUCGCUCCAGCCCAACCGUUGCUCGUGUUCAGGAUAAGCUGCCCAGCUCGUCCGCCCUUCUUAUUGCCGCUGCUUCUCAGCUCACACGCUCCAACACUAUCCUCUCGUGUCUCGUCGAGCUAUCUGUCCACGGAGUAGUACCUUCCCGAGCUAGCUCGCAGCUCCGCCGCAAUGGCCACCGUGGUGAGCAGCCUCCGCUUGCCCUUCUCCGUCUGCGCCGCCGCCCCCUCGGCGCCCAUGGCAUCCCGCGUCGCGCUCCCGCUGUCGUCGACGGCUGCCAGGGGCAUGAGGCUCCGCGCGCAGGCGACGUACAAGGUGAAGCUGAUCACGCCGGAGGGCGAGGUGGACCUCGAGGUCCCCGACGACGUCUACAUCCUCGACCACGCCGAGGAGGAAGGGAUCGACCUGCCCUACUCCUGCCGCGCCGGCUCCUGCUCCUCCUGCGCCGGGAAGGUGGUCUCCGGCCAGCUGGACCAGUCCGACCAGAGCUUCCUCGACGACGACCAGAUCGAGGCGGGGUGGGUGCUCAC